Molecule: ribosomal RNA, 253 nt
Filed under: uncultured bacterium
Lineage: Bacteria
Description: partial 16S ribosomal RNA
Rfam family: Bacterial small subunit ribosomal RNA
Source: RNAcentral
UACAGAGGUGUCAAACGUUGUCCGGAAUUAUUGGGCGUAAAGGGCGCGUAGGCGGCCGGGUAAGUGAGAUGUGAAAGCUCUGGGCUCAGCCCAGGAAUUGCAUUUCAUACUGCUCGGCUUGAGAUUGGUAGAGGAUGGCGGAAUUCCAGGUGUAGCGGUGAAAUGCGUAGAUAUCUGGAGGAACACCUGUGGCGAAGGCGGCAUCCUGGACCGACAUUGACGCUGAUGAGCGAAAGCUAGGGGAGCAAACGGG